Molecule: unclassified non-coding RNA, 274 nt
Filed under: uncultured fungus
Lineage: Eukaryota; Fungi
Description: partial contains small subunit ribosomal RNA, internal transcribed spacer 1, and 5.8S ribosomal RNA
Rfam family: Eukaryotic small subunit ribosomal RNA (bases 1-73)
Source: RNAcentral
GCAAACUUGGUCAUUUAGAGGAAGUAAAAGUCGUAACAAGGUCUCCGUUGGUGAACCAGCGGAGGGAUCAUUAAAGAGUGAAUACUCCUAAACCAUUUGUUUAUCUACCUGUUUCGUUGCUUCGGCAGGCGGUCCUUAGGGUCCUUCGCCUCUCGUAGGUGCCUGCCGGAGUACCCAAAACUCUUGUUAAUUACUGUUUCUCUGAGUAAACUUUUAAUAAGUUAAAACUUUCAACAACGGAUCUCUUGGUUCUGGCAUCGAUGAAGAACGCAGC